This 497-nucleotide ribosomal RNA is filed under the name uncultured bacterium. RNAcentral's name for it is "partial 16S ribosomal RNA". It matches the Rfam family "Bacterial small subunit ribosomal RNA", at positions 28 to 507 of the family's 1533-position model. The record is from RNAcentral.
GAUGAACGCUGGCGGCGUGCCUAAUACAUGCAAGUCGAGCGAACGGACGAGAAGCUUGCUUUUCUGAUGUUAGCGGCGGACGGGUGAGUAACACGUGGAUAACCUACCUAUAAGACUGGGAUAACUUCGGGAAACCGGAGCUAAUACCGGAUAAUAUUUUGAACCGCAUGGUUCAAAAGUGAAAGACGGUCUUGCUGUCACUUAUAGAUGGAUCCGCGCUGCAUUAGCUAGUUGGUAAGGUAACGGCUUACCAAGGCAACGAUGCAUAGCCGACCUGAGAGGGUGAUCGGCCACACUGGAACUGAGACACGGUCCAGACUCCUACGGGAGGCAGCAGUAGGGAAUCUUCCGCAAUGGGCGAAAGCCUGACGGAGCAACGCCGCGUGAGUGAUGAAGGUCUUCGGAUCGUAAAACUCUGUUAUUAGGGAAGAACAUAUGUGUAAGUAGCUGUGCACGUCUUGACGGUACCUAAUCAGAAAGCCACGGCUAACUACGUG